Molecule: non-coding RNA, 40 nt
Organism: Chlorocebus sabaeus (green monkey)
Lineage: Eukaryota; Metazoa; Chordata; Mammalia; Primates; Cercopithecidae
Source: Rfam
GGCUUUCUUAAAAGCCACCAUACAAUAUAAGAAAAAAGUA